GAGUUUGAUCCUGGCUCAGGAUAAACGCUGGCGGCGCACAUAAGACAUGCAAGUCGAACGAACUUAAUUUUAAUAUUUAUAUUAAAAAGCGGUUAGUGGCGGACUGGUGAGUAACGCGUAAGCAAUCUGCCUAUCAGAGGGGGAAUAACAGUGAGAAAUCAUUGCUAAUACCGCAUAUGCCAUAAGAAUCACAUGAUUCUAGUGGGAAAGGAGCAAUCCACUGAUAGAUGAGCUUGCGUCUGAUUAGCUAGUUGGUGGGAUAACGGCCUACCAAGGCGACGAUCAGUAGCCGGACUGAGAGGUUGAACGGCCACAUUGGGACUGAGAUACGGCCCAGACUCCUACGGGAGGCAGCAGUCGGGAAUAUUGCGCAAUGGAGGAAACUCUGACGCAGUGACGCCGCGUAUAGGAAGAAGGUUUUCGGAUUGUAAACUAUUGUCGUUAGGGAAGAUAAAGACAGUACCUAGGAGGAGCUCCGGCUAACUACGUGCUAGCCGCCGCCGU
This 504-nucleotide ribosomal RNA is filed under the name uncultured microorganism. Its description in RNAcentral is "bacterial SSU rRNA". It matches the Rfam family "Bacterial small subunit ribosomal RNA", at positions 9 to 521 of the family's 1533-position model. The record is from RNAcentral.